GAUGAACGCUAGCGGGAGGCUUAACACAUGCAAGUCGAGGGGCAGCAUAGGGUAGCAAUACUCUGAUGGCGACCGGCAAACGGGUGAGUAACGCGUAUGCAACCUACCCUGUACAGGGGGAUAACCCGGAGAAAUUCGGACUAAUAUCCCGUAAUAAUAUCCGGAGGCAUCUUUGGAUAUUUAAAGUUCCGACGGUACGGGAUGGGCAUGCGUAACAUUAACUGGUUGGUAAGGUAACGGCUUACCAAGGCUAUGAUGUUUAGGGGUCCUGAGAGGGUGGUCCCCCACACUGGUACUGAGACACGGACCAGACUCCUACGGGAGGCAGCAGUGAGGAAUAUUGGGUCAAUGGGCGCAAGCCUGAACCAGCCAUCCCGCGUGCAGGAAGACGGCCCUAUGGGUUGUAAACUGCUUUUCCAGGGAGAGAACUUACGCACGUGUUGCGUGACUGACGGUACCCUGGGAAUAAGCAUCGGCUAACUCCGUG
RNAcentral lists this ribosomal RNA (487 nucleotides) under uncultured bacterium. Its description in RNAcentral is "bacterial SSU rRNA". It matches the Rfam family "Bacterial small subunit ribosomal RNA", at positions 28 to 507 of the family's 1533-position model. The record is from RNAcentral.